GUGGGGAAUCUUGCGCAAUGGGCGAAAGCCUGACGCAGCCAUGCCGCGUGAAUGAUGAAGGUCUUAGGAUUGUAAAAUUCUUUCACCGGGGACGAUAAUGACGGUACCCGGAGAAGAAGCUCCGGCUAACUUCGUGCCAGCAGCCGCGGUAAUACGAAGGGGGCUAGCGUUGCUCGGAAUUACUGGGCGUAAAGGGCGCGUAGGCGGACAGCUUAGUCAGAGGUGAAAGCCCAGGGCUCAACCUUGGAAUUGCCUUUGAUACUGGCUGUCUUGAGUUUGGGAGAGGUGAGUGGAACUCCGAGUGUAGAGGUGAAAUUCGUAGAUAUUCGGAAGAACACCAGUGGCGAAGGCGACCACCUGGACUGAUACUGACACUGAGGUGCGAAAGCGUGGGGAGCAAACAGGAUUAGAAACCCGUGUAGUCC
Molecule: ribosomal RNA, 425 nt
Filed under: uncultured bacterium
Lineage: Bacteria
Description: partial 16S ribosomal RNA
Rfam family: Bacterial small subunit ribosomal RNA
Source: RNAcentral